Long non-coding RNA from Cotesia glomerata, 95 nucleotides. RefSeq lists it as uncharacterized. The transcript has 3 exons. The record is from RefSeq and is a predicted model, not a curated record. NCBI's taxonomy places the organism in Eukaryota, Metazoa, Arthropoda, Insecta, Hymenoptera, Braconidae.
AAUGACCAGCCCAACUGCUUUUAAAAGCAGAACUCAAAAUUCCAAUUUUAAAAGGUCCAUCAAGGAAGAUACAUUUUGACACACCCUAAUGGUCA